Molecule: ribosomal RNA, 732 nt
Filed under: uncultured bacterium
Lineage: Bacteria
Description: bacterial SSU rRNA
Rfam family: Bacterial small subunit ribosomal RNA
Source: RNAcentral
CGCACGAGAAAGGGGCUUCCGGUCCCUGAGUAAAGUGGCGCACGGGUGAGUAACACGUGAAUGAUCUACCUUCGAGUGGGGAAUAACUGGGAGAAAUCUCAGCUAAUACCGCAUAAUACCUACGGGUCAAAGCAGCAAUGCGCUUGAAGAGGAGUUCGCGGCAGAUUAGUUAGUUGGCGGGGUAAUGGCCCACCAAGACGAUGAUCUGUAUCCGGCCUGAGAGGGCGCACGGACACACUGGAACUGGAACACGGUCCAGACUCCUACGGGAGGCAGCAGUGGGGAAUUUUGCGCAAUGGGGGAAACCCUGACGCAGCAACGCCGCGUGGAGGAUGAAGUAUCUUGGUACGUAAACUCCUUUCGAUGGGGAAGAUAAUGACGGUACCCAUAGAAGAAGCCCCGGCUAACUUCGUGCCAGCAGCCGCGGUAAUACGAGGGGGGCAAGCGUUGUUCGGAAUUAUUGGGCGUAAAGGGUGCGUAGGCGGUUUGAUAAGUCUGAUGUGAAAUCUCUGGGCUCAACCCAGAGUCUGCAUUAGAAACUGUCGGGCUUGAGUAUGGGAGAGGUGAGUGGAAUUUCCGGUGUAGCGGUGAAAUGCGUAGAUAUCGGAAGGAACACCUGUGGCGAAAGCGGCUCACUGGACCAUAACUGACGCUGAGGCACGAAAGCUAGGGGAGCAAACAGGAUUAGAUACCCUGGUAGUCCUAGCCCUAAACGAUGAUUGCUUGAUGUGG